This is an RNA transcript of Oncorhynchus gorbuscha (pink salmon), 2180 nucleotides long. It is a transcript of the gene named regulator of G-protein signaling 6-like, with no coding region annotated. The transcript has 18 exons. The record is from RefSeq and is a predicted model, not a curated record. Lineage: Eukaryota; Metazoa; Chordata; Actinopteri; Salmoniformes; Salmonidae.
UUAUCUUCUCUCUAAUUCCCGUUUCCAUCCCCCUUUCCCAACUCAAUCUGCCUCUCGCUCGCUCUCUCUCCCUCACACAGACAGACAGAAACACACACACACAGACAGACAGACAGAGAGGAGCCGGGAGCGCACAUGUGAGUCGAAGACCUCCCUAACCGCUCAGCUCCACUCCGUACUCCCUCCCAUGGCAGACAGAAAACUGGAGAAGAGGAGGAAUAGAGGAAUACUGCAGUGACCAACCAGCUGCUCUCUCUCUCUCGCUACUCCACUGCUUUCAUCCUUUCUUUUUAAAAUUAUUUCUCCCCCCUGUGCCAAUUAUACCAUGAACCUGCCUGCUGCUUGUUCCUAAGGACAGCAAAACAGGGAGCAGUGGACAAGGUAUUCUUUUGUUGCUAAGCCUCCUGAGCCUAGGACACAGCAGUCAUGGAGGAGGGAUCCAGAGACCAGGGACAACAGUGUGUGGGGACAACAGAUCCCGAGGAGGACUCUCCCAACACGAUCAUCUACAGAAAGAUUGAAGACGUCAUUAUGCGGCUACAGGAUGAGAAGGCAGGAGGGGUGGCCAUCCGAACUGUCAAGAGCUUCCUGUCCAAGAUCCCCAGUGUGGUAUCAGGAGCAGACAUUGUGCAGUGGCUGAUGAAAAACCUCUCCAUUGAGGACUCAGCGUUAGUCUUCUUUCCUGUAGCUGAAGCCAUUCAUUUAGGGAGCCUGAUCGCUGCCCUUGGCUACCUCUUCCCCAUCUCCGACCACGUCCUCACUCUCAAAGAUGAUGGGACCCUGUACCGCUUCCAGGCUCCAUACUUCUGGCCCUCUAAUUGUUGGGAACCUGAGAACACAGACUAUGCUAUCUACCUGUGCAAGCGCACCAUGCAGAACAAGGCCAGGCUGGAGCUAGCUGACUACGAGGCCGAGAACCUGGCGCGACUGCAGAGGGCCUUCGCCAGGAAGUGGGAGUUCAUCUUCAUGCAAGCUGAGGCGCAGGUCAAGAUCGACAGGAAGAAGGACAAGGCUGAGAGGAAGAUCCUAGACAGCCAGGAGAGGGCAUUCUGGGACGUCCAUCGCCCUGUGCCAGGCUGUGUAAACACCACAGAGAUGGACAUUCGCAAGUGCCAGAGAGAGAAGAAUCCACAGAGGGUGAAAAAGUCGGUGUAUGGGGUAACAGACGACACCCACACUCAGAGUUCAGUCCACCAGUCCCUCCCGUCCCAGCCGUCCAGGAAGCCCACCAGAGAGGACGUGCAGAAGGAGAUUUCCUUCUUGAACAUGCAGCUGGACAGACACUGUAUGAAAAUGUCCAAAGUAGCAGACAGCCUCAUGAGCUACACAGAACAGUUCAUGGUCUACGAUCCUUUAGCAUCAACUGUUGAACCGUCCAACCCCUGGAUCAGCGAUGACAUGACCUUCUGGGACCUGGAGGCUAGCCGGGACCCCAGCCAGCACCGUGUGAAGAAGUGGGGCUUCUCUCUGGAGGAGGCCCUCAAGGACCCAGCGGGACGGGAUGCUUUCCUCAAGUUCCUGGAGUCGGAGUUCAGCUCAGAGAACCUCCGGUUCUGGUUGUCAGUGCAGGACCUGAAGCGGAGGCCCCUUGAGAACGUGGCAGCCAGGGCCCAGGAGAUCUGGCAGGAGUUCCUGGCAGAGGGUGCACCCAGCUCCAUCAACCUGGACUCCCACAGCUAUGAGCUGACCAGCCAUAACCUAAAAGAUCCUGGACGAUACAGCUAUGAGGACGCACAGGAACAUAUCUUCAAGUUGAUGAAAAGUGACAGCUAUGCACGCUUCCUGAGAUCCAACAUUUAUCAGGACCUCCUGCUAGCCAGGAAGAAGCUGCUCUCUAAAAUGGAAAAUAAAGCAAGUCCUGUUAUACUGUGUACUAGGAUGAUCAGCACCACAGCAGAUCAAAGCAUCAUCUUCUCUUGACAGAGGGUGACCAGGGCCGCCGUACCUCCCUGGAGAAGUUCACCCGCAGUGUGGGCAAGUCAUUGACGGGCAAGCGGCUGACAGGGCUGAUGCAGUCAUCCUGACACUGCCUGGGCUGGAGGGGCACAGACAGACACCCCUGGAGGGGCCAUGACCAUGCAGGGAGAGGGGCGCUGCUGGGGUGGGGAGCUCUGCUCUGGUGGGUCACAGCCAGUGCCAUGCAGCGCUGGAAUUAGGACUACUCACAGAACCACAGAUCA